This 472-nucleotide ribosomal RNA is filed under the name uncultured bacterium. Its description in RNAcentral is "bacterial SSU rRNA". It matches the Rfam family "Bacterial small subunit ribosomal RNA", at positions 325 to 793 of the family's 1533-position model. The record is from RNAcentral.
CACUGUCACUCCUACGGGAGCAGCAGUGGGGAAUAUUGCACAAUGGGCGCAAGCCUGAUGCAGCCAUGCCGCGUGUGUGAAGAAGGCCUUCGGGUUGUAAAGCACUUUCAGUCGUGAGGAAGGCGGGUACGUUAAUAGCGUAUUCGUUUGACGUUAGCGACAGAAGAAGCACCGGCUAACUCCGUGCCAGCAGCCGCGGUAAUACGGAGGGUGCGAGCGUUAAUCGGAAUUACUGGGCGUAAAGCGCAUGCAGGUGGUUUGUUAAGUCAGAUGUGAAAGCCCCGGGGCUCAACCUCGGAAUAGCAUUUGAAACUGGCAGACUAGAGUACUGUAGAGGGGGUAGAAUUUCAGGUGUAGCGGUGAAAUGCGUAGAGAUCUGAAGGAAUACCGGUGGCGAAGGCGGCCCCCUGGACAGAUACUGACACUCAGAUGCGAAAGCGUGGGGAGCAAACAGGAUUAGAUACCCUGGUAG